Molecule: ribosomal RNA, 222 nt
Filed under: Talaromyces purpureogenus
Lineage: Eukaryota; Fungi; Ascomycota; Eurotiomycetes; Eurotiales; Trichocomaceae
Description: partial 28S ribosomal RNA
Rfam family: Eukaryotic large subunit ribosomal RNA
Source: RNAcentral
GGUUGACCUCGGAUCAGGUAGGAGUUACCCGCUGAACUUAAGCAUAUCAAUAAGCGGAGGAAAAGAAACCAACCGGGAUUGCCUCAGUAACGGCGAGUGAAGCGGCAAGAGCUCAAAUUUGAAAUCUGGCCCCCUCGGGGUCCGAGUUGUAAUUUGCAGAGGAUGCUUCGGGUGCGGUCCCCAUCUAAGUGCCCUGGAACGGGCCGUCAUAGAGGGUGAGAA